Molecule: ribosomal RNA, 116 nt
Filed under: Bacillus cabrialesii
Lineage: Bacteria; Bacillati; Bacillota; Bacilli; Caryophanales; Bacillaceae
Source: RNAcentral
UUUGGUUGCGAUAGCGAAGAGGUCACACCCGUUCCCAUACCGAACACGGAAGUUAAGCUCUUCAGCGCCGAUGGUAGUCGGGGGUUUCCCCCUGUGAGAGUAGGACGCCGCCAAGC